GCUGCAAAUUUGAUCAGAGCAGUGGAAGGGGAAAGAGAUGCUGAACACUUUCCCUAUAGGCUGAUGUCCAGCAGGUGCCAAAGAAAAACAAGGGGCCAAAGGGAGCCAGUGUAGUCCAGCAAGCAAAGUGAGCAGCGGGCAGGAGACUUAGAACAUGAAAUAAACAUGCAAUGGAUAAGGCGAAAAGAGCACAAAUCGUGUGUGGAAUCGGAUUCAAUGCCCCCCAACCCCGCCUGACCACAAACACUAGUGCCACAUCACACUGUUGACUCAUAUUCAGCUUGUGAUCAACGACAAUUCCAAGAUCCUUCUCACAUGUCGUACUGCUGAGCCAAGUAUCCCCUAUCUUAUAACUUUAAAAA
Long non-coding RNA from Rhineura floridana, 362 nucleotides. RefSeq lists it as uncharacterized. NCBI's taxonomy places the organism in Eukaryota, Metazoa, Chordata, Lepidosauria, Squamata, Rhineuridae. The transcript has 3 exons. The record is from RefSeq and is a predicted model, not a curated record.